Molecule: ribosomal RNA, 444 nt
Filed under: uncultured Shewanella sp.
Lineage: Bacteria; Pseudomonadati; Pseudomonadota; Gammaproteobacteria; Alteromonadales; Shewanellaceae
Description: bacterial SSU rRNA
Rfam family: Bacterial small subunit ribosomal RNA
Source: RNAcentral
CCUACGGGAGGCAGCAGUGAGGAAUAUUGCGCAAUGGGGGCAACCCUGACGCAGCGACGCCGCGUGAGUGAGGAAGGCCUUCGGGUCGUAAAGCACUUUCAGCGAGGAGGAAAGGGUGUAAGUUAAUACCUUACAUCUGUGACGUUACUCGCAGAAGAAGCACCGGCUAACUCCGUGCCAGCAGCCGCGGUAAUACGGAGGGUGCGAGCGUUAAUCGGAAUUACUGGGCGUAAAGCGUGCGCAGGCGGUUUGUUAAGCGAGAUGUGAAAGCCCCGGGCUCAACCUGGGAACCGCAUUUCGAACUGGCAAACUAGAGUCUUGUAGAGGGGGGUAGAAUUCCAGGUGUAGCGGUGAAAUGCGUAGAGAUCUGGAGGAAUACCGGUGGCGAAGGCGGCCCCCUGGACAAAGACUGACGCUCAGGCACGAAAGCGUGGGGAGCAAACA